Triticum dicoccoides is the source of this 1401-nucleotide long non-coding RNA. RefSeq lists it as uncharacterized. Lineage: Eukaryota; Viridiplantae; Streptophyta; Magnoliopsida; Poales; Poaceae. The transcript has 2 exons. The record is from RefSeq and is a predicted model, not a curated record.
CCUAACCGGCCCAUUCCCACCCACUCCUCUUCCCGCACCUCUCGCCUCCUUCCAGAUCCCCCCGAACACCUCCCACCGCCGCCCCUCGCUUCGGCGCGGCUCCCGCCGCCGGCCCCUCGGCCCCAGCGCGCCACCCCUGCCGCCGCCCCCGAUGGACCUCCUGCCGCCGACCACCCGACCCCAACGCCCACCCGCUGUUGGCCACCGGAGCCGCGACACCCACCCCUGCGCUGCUGGCCACCAGAGCCGCCACCCCUAGUCACGAGAUCCGCCGGCGGCAGCCUAGACCCUGCGCCACCUCUUUCGGUCGGCGUUCGUCUGCGAGCUCCCGCCUCCAGUCGUCGUCGGAUCCCGCCUCUGUACACCGGAUCACGGUGCUUCGUUCCUCCAUGAGCCUAGAUCCAUUGAGGUCUACCUUAUGCCCAUAUGUGUGGCUGCAUCAAGCUACAACGAACACCGUUCCUCGGCCCUUUCCUGAACUGCAGCCUCAUCAGUGUGUGGACCAUCGAGGAAUUUUUCCUGGGCAGCAUUCUGUGCUUUUCUUCAUUUUCCUUGAUUUUUGUGUCUCCACACUCUGCAGAAUGUUUCUAUUCUCUGCUUCAAUUGAAGUAAAAUAUUUCUGUUUCAGACAAAAUGCACGUACUAGCAUACUCGAACUUCAGAGAUGCCCAUUUUGUUUCGGCUGAAAAGAGACACUGGUUUUUCAUGAUGGAGAAAAUUGCUCCAGUAAUCCAAUUUUGUUCAUGUGGUCACCGAGAUGAAAAUAUGUCUGUGUUUCGUUUAGUAUACAUUGAGAAAGUUCAUUUCUUUUUCAAUUUGCUCCAGGAAUCCUAGUAUUUUCAAUUUGUCAUGUAUGUAUACAUUGAGAAAGUUAAGUGUUGUUUCAUUUAGUUCGCUCACACAGCCAUGCGAAUCAUUUGUUUUUCAGGCAAAGGGAAGUAGGUGAGGCCAUCCCAAUCCAGCACCGCGCAGCUGUAGGGAGGUCAAGCCCAUCGCGAGCUGCAGUCCACGGCGGUCACCGUGUCAAUCCUCCUACAUCCUGCCCCGCCCGCCCUUUAAAGUGCCCGCGACCCAUCGCGUGUAGAUGUUGUUUCACUGCCCAGUCAAAUUCCACCACUAUUUGUAGCUCCAAUGUGCAAUUCAUUGUGAUGCUCCUGGAGGUUCAAUUUUUGUGUGUGUUGUUGCAGCUGACCUUGACACAUUUUCUUCCUUUUGAUGUGCCAUUUUAUGCAUAGUUAUCACUAGAUGCCCAUAACAUGUGCCGGGUACGGUGUUUGUGAAAUCCUGAGAGACUCAUUCAUGUGUUUUUUGGUGAUGGAUAGAGAGAUUCAUUGUUCAUUUAUGUACAAGUUCAGAUUUUAAACAAUUUAGUGGUUCGGUGUUUAUCAAAAGCCGCUCUUU